Molecule: ribosomal RNA, 779 nt
Filed under: uncultured bacterium
Lineage: Bacteria
Description: bacterial SSU rRNA
Rfam family: Bacterial small subunit ribosomal RNA
Source: RNAcentral
UGCAGUCGAGCGGUAACAGAUCCAGCUUGCUGGAUGCUGACGAGCGGCGGACGGGUGAGUAAUGCAUAGGAAUCUGCCCGAUAGUGGGGGAUAACCUGGGGAAACCCAGGCUAAUACCGCAUACGUCCUACGGGAGAAAGGGGGCUCCGGCUCCCGCUAUGGGAUGAGCCUAUGUCGGAUUAGCUAGUUGGUGAGGUAACGGCUCACCAAGGCCACGAUCCGUAGCUGGUCUGAGAGGAUGAUCAGCCACAUCGGGACUGAGACACGGCCCGAACUCCUACGGGAGGCAGCAGUGGGGAAUAUUGGACAAUGGGGGAAACCCUGAUCCAGCCAUGCCGCGUGUGUGAAGAAGGCCCUCGGGUUGUAAAGCACUUUCAGCGAGGAAGAACGCCUAGCGGUUAAUACCCGCUAGGAAAGACAUCACUCGCAGAAGAAGCACCGGCUAACUCCGUGCCAGCAGCCGCGGUAAUACGGAGGGUGCAAGCGUUAAUCGGAAUUACUGGGCGUAAAGCGCGCGUAGGUGGCUUGAUAAGCCGGUUGUGAAAGCCCCGGGCUCAACCUGGGAACGGCAUCCGGAACUGUCAAGCUAGAGUGCAGGAGAGGAAGGUAGAAUUCCCGGUGUAGCGGUGAAAUGCGUAGAGAUCGGGAGGAAUACCAGUGGCGAAAGCGGCCUUCUGGACUGACACUGACACUGAGGUGCGAAAGCGUGGGUAGCAAACAGGAUUAGAUACCCUGGUAGUCCACGCCGUAAACGAUGUCGACCAGCCGUUGGGUGCCUA